UCAAACUUGGUCAUUUAGAGGAAGUAAAAGUCGUAACAAGGUUUCCGUAGGUGAACCUGCGGAAGGAUCAUUACCGAGUUAGGGUGUCCUCGUUCGCGAGCGCCCGACCUCCUAACCCUUUGCUUACUUGACCUUUUGUUGCUUCGGCAGGCCCGCCUCCGGGCCGCCGGGCGUCGGUAACACGCGCCUGGUCCGUCUGCCUGCCGACGGCCCCAAUUAUUAAACCCAUGUUUAAAACGUGUCGUCUGAGUAACUUUUUUUGUUAUACCACAAAAUAACUAAAAACUUUCAACAACGGAUCUCUUGGUUCUGGCAUCGAUGAAGAACGCAGC
This 332-nucleotide unclassified non-coding RNA is filed under the name uncultured fungus. Its description in RNAcentral is "partial contains small subunit ribosomal RNA, internal transcribed spacer 1, and 5.8S ribosomal RNA". The stretch from base 1 to 73 matches the Rfam family "Eukaryotic small subunit ribosomal RNA", at positions 1759 to 1831 of the family's 1831-position model. Lineage: Eukaryota; Fungi. The record is from RNAcentral.